RNAcentral lists this non-coding RNA (251 nucleotides) under Aerococcus viridans. RNAcentral's name for it is "T-box sequence". It matches the Rfam family "T-box leader". From Rfam's summary of the family: Uncharged tRNA acts as the effector for transcription antitermination of genes in the T-box leader family. T-boxes are found upstream of many aminoacyl-tRNA synthetase genes and some amino acid biosynthetic genes usually in Gram-positive bacteria. The record is from RNAcentral. Lineage: Bacteria; Bacillati; Bacillota; Bacilli; Lactobacillales; Aerococcaceae.
ACAUUACCAAAGACGGGAUAAGUAAAUAGGCAUCAAUUUUAGAGAGGUUUCAUUUGGUGAAAGAGACUAUUGGUAAGUAUUGAAAAUGGUCCUUGAGGUUGAAGUGAUUCGAGUGACCAUUUUGGUCAUAAGAUGAGCUCGUUUGGCGCCGUUAUCCGCUAAUCCUAUCCUAUAUUUUGAAUAUGGCGUAGGAGUGAGGGAAAGAAUAUCUUUCUAAAGUAAGGUGGUACCACGUGAAAUGCGUCCUUAGU